This 796-nucleotide small RNA is filed under the name Pan troglodytes (chimpanzee). RNAcentral's name for it is "retained intron". Lineage: Eukaryota; Metazoa; Chordata; Mammalia; Primates; Hominidae. The record is from RNAcentral.
GCUUGACCCAUCACCAUAUGCAAAUAGCUGAUUAAAAGUUAUUUGACAAUGACAUUUUUCUUCCCUUUUAGGGACUUCACUGUGACUUUGCUUGCCUGAUGUUCCAAUACUUAGUAAAUAAGCCUUCAGAAGAAAGGGUCAGGGAGAUCAUUGUUGAUGCUGUCAAAAUUGAGCAGGAGUUUUUAACAGAAGCCUUGCCAGUUGGCCUCAUUGGAAUGAAUUGCAUUUUGAUGAAACAGUACAUUGAGUUUGUAGCUGACAGAUUACUUGUGGAACUUGGAUUCUCAAAGGUUUUUCAGGCAGAAAAUCCUUUUGAUUUUAUGGAAAACAUUUCUUUAGAAGGAAAAACAAAUUUCUUUGAGAAACGAGUUUCAGAGUAUCAGCGUUUUGCAGUUAUGGCAGAAACCACAGAUAACGUCUUCACCUUGGAUGCAGAUUUUUAAAAAACCUCUUGUUUUAAAACUCUAUAAACUUGUCAUUGGUAAAUAGUAGUCUAUUUUCCUCUGCUUAAAAAAAAAAUUUAAGUAUAUCCUUUAAAAGACCGGGGGUUUGCUCAAAAGGAAAUCCAAAACCUAUUCAAUUUGCAUUUAUAUAAUUUUCCUGUUUAACAACAAGAAUGUGACCUAAAUGCUUUUGUCUUGUCACUGAAAUAAAAGAUGGCAUUAUGUGGUUAAGAGCAUGGGGCGAGGGGUCAGACAUGAGUUUAAGGUUCUGCCCUUACUCCAGUGUGUGACCCUUGGCAAGUCAGUUAAUCUUGGUAAACCUCAGUGUACUUAUCUUUAAAAUGGGAGUAAUA